RNAcentral lists this transfer RNA (84 nucleotides) under Candidatus Woesearchaeota archaeon. RNAcentral describes it as "tRNA-Leu". It matches the Rfam family "tRNA". Rfam says of the family: Transfer RNA (tRNA) molecules are approximately 80 nucleotides in length. The record is from RNAcentral. Lineage: Archaea; Nanobdellati; Candidatus Woesearchaeota.
GUGGGAGUGUCAGAGCGGUCAAAUGAGCUAGCCUAAGGAGCUAGUGGCUUAGUGCCUACACAGGUUCGAAUCCUGUCUCCCACA